This 380-nucleotide ribosomal RNA is filed under the name uncultured eukaryote. Its description in RNAcentral is "partial 18S ribosomal RNA". It matches the Rfam family "Eukaryotic small subunit ribosomal RNA", at positions 592 to 976 of the family's 1831-position model. The record is from RNAcentral.
CAAUAGCGUAUAUUAAAGUUGUUGCGGUUAAAAAGUUCGUAGUUGGAUUUCUGCCAAGGACGACCGGUCCGCCCUCUGGGUGAGUAUCUGGCUUGGCCUGGGCAUCUUCUUGGAGAACGUUGCUGCACUUCACUGUGUGGUGCGGUAUCCAGGACCUUUACUUUGAGGAAAUUAGAGUGUUUCAAGCAGGCUUCCGCCUUGAAUACAUUAGCAUGGAAUAAUAAGAUAGGACCUCGGUUCUAUUUUGUUGGUUUCUAGAGCUGGGGUAAUGAUUAAUAGGGAUAGUUGGGGGCAUUCGUAUUUAACUGUCAGAGGUGAAAUUCAUGGAUUUGUUAAAGACGGACUACUGCGAAAGCAUUUGCCAAGGAUGUUUUCAUUGA